CGUGGAGACAGGUGGUGCAUGGCUGUCGUCAGCUCGUGUCGUGAGAUGUUGGGUUAAGUCCCGCAACGAGCGCAACCCUCACCUCUUGUUGCCAUCAGGUCGUGCUGGGCACUCUAGAGGAACUGCCCCGGUCAACGGGGAGGAAGGCGGGGAUGACGUCAAGUCAUCAUGCCCCUUACGUCCUGGGCUACACACGUGCUACAAUGGCCGGUACAAAGGGAUGCCACACCGCGAGGUAGAGCUAAACCCAAAAAGCCGGUCUAAGUUCAGAUUGGAGUCUGCAACUCGACUCCAUGAAGGAGGAAUCGCUAGUAAUCGCGUAUCAGCACGACGCGGUGAAUACGUUCCCGGGCCUUGUACACACCGCCCGUCACACCACGAAAGUCUGCUGUACUCGAAGUCGCUGAG
Molecule: ribosomal RNA, 408 nt
Filed under: uncultured Methylomirabilota bacterium
Lineage: Bacteria; Methylomirabilota (SeqCode)
Description: bacterial SSU rRNA
Rfam family: Bacterial small subunit ribosomal RNA
Source: RNAcentral